Small nucleolar RNA from Cololabis saira (Pacific saury), 137 nucleotides. RefSeq annotates it as small nucleolar RNA SNORA22. The record is from RefSeq and is a predicted model, not a curated record. The transcript has a single exon. NCBI's taxonomy places the organism in Eukaryota, Metazoa, Chordata, Actinopteri, Beloniformes, Belonidae.
AUGCACAGUGAACACCCAGGGAUGCUAGCGUGGCUCUCCCUGGUCUCCUGUAUCUGUGCCAGAGUGACCCUGAUCUGUACCUCUGCAUUAGGAGAGCCUUCUCCUCCCCUACAUGUAUUCAUCAGAUCAGAACAAUC